Molecule: ribosomal RNA, 2270 nt
Filed under: Salmonella enterica
Lineage: Bacteria; Pseudomonadati; Pseudomonadota; Gammaproteobacteria; Enterobacterales; Enterobacteriaceae
Description: partial 23S ribosomal RNA
Rfam family: Bacterial large subunit ribosomal RNA
Source: RNAcentral
GAGUCUUAACCGGGCGUUAAGUUGCAGGGUAUAGACCCGAAACCCGGUGAUCUAGCCAUGGGCAGGUUGAAGGUUGGGUAACACUAACUGGAGGACCGAACCGACUAAUGUUGAAAAAUUAGCGGAUGACCUGUGGCUGGGGGUGAAAGGCCAAUCAAACCGGGAGAUAGCUGGUUCUCCCCGAAAGCUAUUUAGGUAGCGCCUCGUGAAUUCAUCUCCGGGGGUAGAGCACUGUUUCGGCUAGGGGGCCAUCCCGGCUUACCAACCCGAUGCAAACUGCGAAUACCGGAGAAUGUUAUCACGGGAGACACACGGCGGGUGCUAACGUCCGUCGUGAAGAGGGAAACAACCCAGACCGCCAGCUAAGGUCCCAAAGUCAUGGUUAAGUGGGAAACGAUGUGGGAAGGCCCAGACAGCCAGGAUGUUGGCUUAGAAGCAGCCAUCAUUUAAAGAAAGCGUAAUAGCUCACUGGUCGAGUCGGCCUGCGCGGAAGAUGUAACGGGGCUAAACCAUGCACCGAAGCUGCGGCAGCGACACUAUGUGUUGUUGGGUAGGGGAGCGUUCUGUAAGCCUGUGAAGGUGUGUCGUGAGGCAUGCUGGAGGUAUCAGAAGUGCGAAUGCUGACAUAAGUAACGAUAAAGCGGGUGAAAAGCCCGCUCGCCGGAAGACCAAGGGUUCCUGUCCAACGUUAAUCGGGGCAGGGUGAGUCGACCCCUAAGGCGAGGCCGAAAGGCGUAGUCGAUGGGAAACGGGUUAAUAUUCCCGUACUUGGUGUUACUGCGAAGGGGGGACGGAGAAGGCUAUGUUGGCCGGGCGACGGUUGUCCCGGUUUAAGCGUGUAGGUGUGUGUUCCAGGUAAAUCCGGUUCACUUUAACACUGAGGCGUGACGACGAGGCACUACGGUGCUGAAGCAACAAAUGCCCUGCUUCCAGGAAAAGCCUCUAAGCAUCAGGUAACAUCAAAUCGUACCCCAAACCGACACAGGUGGUCAGGUAGAGAAUACCAAGGCGCUUGAGAGAACUCGGGUGAAGGAACUAGGCAAAAUGGUGCCGUAACUUCGGGAGAAGGCACGCUGACACGUAGGUGAAGUGAUUUACUCAUGGAGCUGAAGUCAGUCGAAGAUACCAGCUGGCUGCAACUGUUUAUUAAAAACACAGCACUGUGCAAACACGAAAGUGGACGUAUACGGUGUGACGCCUGCCCGGUGCCGGAAGGUUAAUUGAUGGGGUCAGCGCAAGCGAAGCUCCUGAUCGAAGCCCCGGUAAACGGCGGCCGUAACUAUAACGGUCCUAAGGUAGCGAAAUUCCUUGUCGGGUAAGUUCCGACCUGCACGAAUGGCGUAAUGAUGGCCAGGCUGUCUCCACCCGAGACUCAGUGAAAUUGAACUCGCUGUGAAGAUGCAGUGUACCCGCGGCAAGACGGAAAGACCCCGUGAACCUUUACUAUAGCUUGACACUGAACAUUGAGCCUUGAUGUGUAGGAUAGGUGGGAGGCUUUGAAGUGUGGACGCCAGUCUGCAUGGAGCCGACCUUGAAAUACCACCCUUUAAUGUUUGAUGUUCUAACGUGGACCCGUGAUCCGGGUUGCGGACAGUGUCUGGUGGGUAGUUUGACUGGGGCGGUCUCCUCCUAAAGAGUAACGGAGGAGCACGAAGGUUGGCUAAUCCUGGUCGGACAUCAGGAGGUUAGUGCAAUGGCAUAAGCCAGCUUGACUGCGAGCGUGACGGCGCGAGCAGGUGCGAAAGCAGGUCAUAGUGAUCCGGUGGUUCUGAAUGGAAGGGCCAUCGCUCAACGGAUAAAAGGUACUCCGGGGAUAACAGGCUGAUACCGCCCAAGAGUUCAUAUCGACGGCGGUGUUUGGCACCUCGAUGUCGGCUCAUCACAUCCUGGGGCUGAAGUAGGUCCCAAGGGUAUGGCUGUUCGCCAUUUAAAGUGGUACGCGAGCUGGGUUUAGAACGUCGUGAGACAGUUCGGUCCCUAUCUGCCGUGGGCGCUGGAGAACUGAGGGGGGCUGCUCCUAGUACGAGAGGACCGGAGUGGACGCAUCACUGGUGUUCGGGUUGUCAUGCCAAUGGCACUGCCCGGUAGCUAAAUGCGGAAGAGAUAAGUGCUGAAAGCAUCUAAGCACGAAACUUGCCCCGAGAUGAGUUCUCCCUGAGACUUAAAGUCUCCUGAAGGAACGUUGAAGACGACGACGUUGAUAGGCCGGGUGUGUAAGCGCAGCGAUGCGUUGAGCUAACCGGUACUAAUGAACCGUGAGGCUUAACCUU